Molecule: ribosomal RNA, 413 nt
Filed under: Escherichia coli
Lineage: Bacteria; Pseudomonadati; Pseudomonadota; Gammaproteobacteria; Enterobacterales; Enterobacteriaceae
Description: partial 23S ribosomal RNA
Rfam family: Bacterial large subunit ribosomal RNA
Source: RNAcentral
CGACUAAUGUUGAAAAAUUAGCGGAUGACUUGUGGCUGGGGGUGAAAGGCCAAUCAAACCGGGAGAUAGCUGGUUCUCCCCGAAAGCUAUUUAGGUAGCGCCUCGUGAAUUCAUCUCCGGGGGUAGAGCACUGUUUCGGCAAGGGGGUCAUCCCGACUUACCAACCCGAUGCAAACUGCGAAUACCGGAGAAUGUUAUCACGGGAGACACACGGCGGGUGCUAACGUCCGUCGUGAAGAGGGAAACAACCCAGACCGCCAGCUAAGGUCCCAAAGUCAUGGUUAAGUGGGAAACGAUGUGGGAAGGCCCAGACAGCCAGGAUGUUGGCUUAGAAGCAGCCAUCAUUUAAAGAAAGCGUAAUAGCUCACUGGUCGAGUCGGCCUGCGCGGAAGAUGUAACGGGGCUAAACCAUG